UAGGGAAUCUUCCACAAUGGACGAAAGUCUGAUGGAGCAACGCCGCGUGAGUGAAGAAGGGUUUCGGCUCGUAAAACUCUGUUGUUAAAGAAGAACAUAUCUGAGAGUAACUGUUCAGGUAUUGACGGUAUUUAACCAGAAAGCCACGGCUAACUACGUGCCA
Molecule: ribosomal RNA, 163 nt
Filed under: uncultured bacterium
Lineage: Bacteria
Description: partial 16S ribosomal RNA
Rfam family: Bacterial small subunit ribosomal RNA
Source: RNAcentral